CCACAAAGCCUCAUUUUCAUCAGCAUUAUAUUCUAAAAUUCAGCGUAAAUGUCUAUAGAAAAGACUGAGUGUCGUCUCACUCGAGUAUUCACCACUCAGAUGACUUGAAUUUAAUAAUGUGUAAAACUAUUUGAUGUUGUCAUUAUUAGGCUCAUUUUGAAUGUCCAUAUUCCACCUUUGGAAACACCAGCACUUCCCCAGAAACUAUCAAGGUCAUCUCUGUUUGGAAGCUCCUUGCCCAAAGGAAGGGAUGGCACUCAAUAGAGCCAAGACAACCUAAUAAAAGGUCAAACAUUGCCCUCUUCUGGCAAGACAUAUUACUGUCACCCGGUGGUGGAAUUGUAAAAAAAAAAAUCACGGGGGAUGGUGUGAUCAAUUUCUUUGGGGUGGUGGGGGGGUUAUUGUUUGUGGUUUGUCCCUUAGCUAAUUUUACACAAUGAAUACAAAAUUUGUCCGAACUGCUCCCCGGGCGCUGCAGCAUAAAUGGCUGCCCACUGCACCAGGUGUAUGUGUGUUCACUGCUGUGUGUGUGCACUUUGGAUGGGUUAAAUGAAGAGCACGAAUUCUGAGUAUGGGUCACCAUACUUGGCUGUAUGUCACUUCACUUUCACUUAAUUGUAACUUGCUCAUGUUAUUGUUCUUUGUGGAUUGUAACAGUACACUCUGUACGUGGCUUUAGGUCUUAGAUUUGAUUUUACAAGUUAAAGUUAAAGAAGUUAUUUGAACAUACACACAUGAUUAUUGUGCGUAUAAUAAUAUUAGUAUUAUUUUCAGGAUGACAUGUCGUCUGAUCAGGAGGUGGUGGUGUGCUGUUCUCCUGGACAACUUCACUCCACAAAUGUAUGUAGCUGUUUGAAUGUUCCUACAUUAAACAUUAGUCUGUACUAUAUCUACCAAUAUACCUACCUCUUGUCAUUUAUUCUUUUAGCUCUCAACCACGAAGGUGGGGCUUCACCAUCAAAAGACAAUGUCUUUAGGCAGAGUCCAGCGAAGCAGAGUAUGCAGUUGUGACAACAAUCUAUCAGGUUUGUCUAAACCAAGGUUGUAUGUAGUCAGUGUUUAUAUAAUGUUUAAUAACAUUUAUAUUCAAGUAUGGAAAUCUUUUCUGAAAUCCUCAGUGAAGUUAUUUUGUCAGCGGGGUAACUGUGCAUAUUUGACACUUUCUCUGGUAUGCAGAUGGUUUAGGGAUGUGGUCACUCAAGAAGUUUUUCGGAAAGCAGCACACUUUGCCUGUUUAGACAGUAAGAACCCACCCCCCUGCACAUUCAGUGCACAUUCUCUAAUUGAAUUUUCUAGUAUGAGGCUGUUAAACUUUUUAUUUAUCUUUCCUGUAUUUUGUCUUUACACUAUAAGGUGUGGCCAACUGGAAGAAUUUCACUCCCAUCUACCGGAAAGAGUUCAGAUGCAUGUACAGCUUCAGGGAAUGCUUGCAGUGCAGAACCCUUUUCCAGUCAUACCCACCAGAGUAUAGGGGAAGAGGCCGACAUGGUGAACUUCUGGGCUUUUACUCAGAUGUUUACACAGGAUUUUGCUCCCAGAACUGUUUUUGCGGCAGGAAAAACAUUGGUGUCUUAAGUUCAUAGAAGGGAAAGAGAGAAUGAACUGAGAGCAACUGGUUUUGAUGUAUUAAUUGAUGUCAUUUAAAGUUAAACUUUGCAGUGUAUAGUGUUUUAAUAAAAAAGCUAUGGCAAACACGUGCAUGACAACAAGUUUCAGUCAUUUACAUCAGUCUAUCAUUAUUUAAGGUUUCCCAUUUAAUUAAUGAAUUCUUAAUUUAGUUGUGACAGCUCUGUGUAAUAUUUCAAUAACCAAUGAUUUUAAAAGUGUUUAAGCAGGUAACUUCAUAAAUUCAGGAUUAAUGAGGUUUUCAGUAAUGCAGUUCAGAUAACAAAUAACAGAAAAAGUGACAAGUGUUUUUGGGUUCCAGUUCUUUAGAAACUGUAUAGUUCCUUCCUUGCAAAAAGUAGCCAUGGUUUUACUGUAGUAAAAAUAUUUGUUGGCAUAUAUGGCAUAAUGUGAAUAUAUAAAUCAAGGUACAUCUACAUAACCAUACUUGCAUUAUAUUGCAGUGUCACUUACAAAAACCAGCAAAUAAAGCCGAGGUAGUGUCCAAUAUAGCCGUUGAGUGAGAAAUUGUAAAUUAGACCAUUUAUUUCUAUUCUGUUCAUUGUAAUCCACCACUCUUUGUAUUUCUACUUUCAUGGGAUGUUGUGGAAACGCAACAAUAAAUGCAAAAACACUACAUUUAUAUUCGCUUUUUAAUUUAUAUUAAAAGUUUAUUCGUCUGAAUGUCUACUUCCACAUUCCAAGCCUGCUCACAGUCAUAAUUCUCUACACCAAUAAGCUCAUUUUAAUCAUAAACCAAUAACUGUUCAGGUGGGCGGGGUGACACCUGUCGCCCUGCCCCAACGUGUCACCCCGUCCCAUCUUCCAAUCUGCACUCUGGCCUACUAUGCACCGGCUGGUUUAGGACUGUCAUGGAUAAAUAAAGAUGGCAAUAAAACCGCCUGUAGGUGGCAGCAAAUCCCUGUUUUAAUAUAUGAUUUAUUGAAUCAUUAAAACCAAACGAUUCGUUCAAAACGGCUGAUUCAAUUAGAAACAAAACAAGUAAAUGGACCAUUGAAUCACUGGCUCACAUGAUUUGUUCAAAAACAGAUUCAUUCAAGGAAUAAAAUGCGUUGCUCUACACUGUUCUAUACAAUAAAAAUACAUAAAAACUCAUACAUGGAUAUUUUUUCUUUCAUUGCUUGAAUUAUAAGGGCAUUCUAACUGCAUUCUAAUGGGCUUCAUCGCGCAGCGAAUGCUUCUUGACUCUCAAGAUGUUUUUUUUUUCUUAGAGUCUUAGAGUCUUAAAGUCGGUGAUACUCCUCAGCUCUCCUAUUGUCUCUCAGUCUCUCACAGUCACACAUACAGCACAAUGACAUUAUGUCAGGAGAAUGUCUUUAAAUUCUAAUCAAGGAAAAAUCAUACCUUCUGUUGUCUUCUUUUUAAAGAACUUCAAAAGUUCAAGCCCUG
Cyprinus carpio carpio is the source of this 3015-nucleotide long non-coding RNA. The record is from Ensembl. Lineage: Eukaryota; Metazoa; Chordata; Actinopteri; Cypriniformes; Cyprinidae.